AAUAAUGUUCCAUCAAGAUCGAAGAUAAAUGUUUUAUUAUGCAAGUUUCUCACCCCUUAAAUUAUAUCAUACAUUUAACAAAAAAACAAAAAAAUGGGGAUAAAUUCCCCAUUUUCUGGUGGAGUCGAUGGGACUUGAACCCACGACCUCUACCG
This 155-nucleotide antisense RNA is filed under the name Marinitoga piezophila KA3. Its description in RNAcentral is "Bacterial antisense RNA HPnc0260". It matches the Rfam family "Bacterial antisense RNA HPnc0260". The record is from Rfam by way of RNAcentral. Lineage: Bacteria; Thermotogati; Thermotogota; Thermotogae; Petrotogales; Petrotogaceae.